CGGCGAGCGAAAGGGGAAGAGCCCAAACCAGAUAACUUCGGUUGUCUGGGGUUGAGGACCGGCAAAAAGAGGAAACUUCUUAGUCGAAUGGUUUGGAAAGGCCAUGCACAGAAGGUAAAACACCUGUAGGCGAAAAGAAGUCAAUCGGGCUGGUAUCCAGAGUACUGCGAGACACGUGAAACCUUGCAGGAAGCAGGGGGGACCACCCUCCAAGGCAAAAUACUACUUGGCGACCGAUAGCGCAUAGUACCGUGAGGGAAAGGUG
Molecule: ribosomal RNA, 265 nt
Filed under: Chloropicon mariensis
Lineage: Eukaryota; Viridiplantae; Chlorophyta; Chloropicophyceae; Chloropicales; Chloropicaceae
Description: partial Bacterial large subunit ribosomal RNA
Rfam family: Bacterial large subunit ribosomal RNA
Source: RNAcentral